RNAcentral lists this ribosomal RNA (253 nucleotides) under uncultured bacterium. RNAcentral's name for it is "partial 16S ribosomal RNA". It matches the Rfam family "Bacterial small subunit ribosomal RNA", at positions 524 to 776 of the family's 1533-position model. The record is from RNAcentral.
GACAGAGGUCCCGAGCGUUAGGCGGAAUCACUGGGCUUAAAGCGUGUGUAGGCGGAUUUGUAAGUACCUUGUGAAAUCCCACGGCUCAAUCGUGGAACUGCUUGGUAUACUGCUUAUCUUGAGCCACCUAGGGGCAACCGGAACAAGCGGUGGAGCGGUGAAAUGCGUAGAUAUCGCUUGGAACGCCAAUGGUGAAAACAGGUUGCCGGAAGUGUGCUGACGCUGAGACACGAAAGCCAGGGGAGCAAACGGG